RNAcentral lists this ribosomal RNA (515 nucleotides) under uncultured bacterium. Its description in RNAcentral is "partial 16S ribosomal RNA". It matches the Rfam family "Bacterial small subunit ribosomal RNA", at positions 28 to 523 of the family's 1533-position model. The record is from RNAcentral.
GAUGAACGCUGGCGGCGUGCCUAAUACAUGCAAGUCGAGCGAAUGGAUUAAGAGCUUGCUCUUAUGAAGUUAGCGGCGGACGGGUGAGUAACACGUGGGUAACCUGCCCAUAAGACUGGGAUAACUCCGGGAAACCGGGGCUAAUACCGGAUAACAUUUUGAACCGCAUGGUUCGAAAUUGAAAGGCGGCUUCGGCUGUCACUUAUGGAUGGACCCGCGUCGCAUUAGCUAGUUGGUGAGGUAACGGCUCACCAAGGCAACGAUGCGAAGCCGACUUGAGAGGGUGGUCGGCCACACUGGGACUGAGACACGGCCCAGACUCCUACGGGAGGCAGCAGUAGGGAAUCUUCCGCAAUGGACGAAAGUCUGACGGAGCAACGCCGCGUGAGUGAUGAAGGCUUUCGGGUCGUAAAACUCUGUUGUUAGGGAAGAACAAGUGCUAGUUGAAUAAGCUGGCACCUUGACGGUACCUAACCAGAAAGCCACGGCUAACUACGUGCCAGCAGCCGCCGUAA